AACGAACGCUGGCGGCAUGCCUAACACAUGCAAGUCGAACGAGACCUUCGGGUCUAGUGGCGCACGGGUGCGUAACGCGUGGGAACCUGCCCUUAGGUUCGGAAUAACUCUCCGAAAGGGGUGCUAAUACCGGAUAAUGUCUUCGGACCAAAGAUUUAUCGCCUUUGGAUGGGCCCGCGUUGGAUUAGCUAGUUGGUAGGGUAAAAGCCUACCAAGGCGAGGAUCCAUAGCUGGUCUGAGAGGAUGAUCAGCCAAACUGGGACUGAGACACGGCCCAGACUCCUACGGGAGGCAGCAGUGGGGAAUAUUGGACAAUGGGCGAAAGCCUGAUCCAGCAAUGCCGCGUGAGUGAUGAAGGCCUUAGGGUUGUAAAGCUCUUUUACACGGGAUGAUAAUGACAGUACCGGGAGAAUAAGCUCCGGCUAACUCCGUG
Molecule: ribosomal RNA, 433 nt
Filed under: uncultured bacterium
Lineage: Bacteria
Description: partial 16S ribosomal RNA
Rfam family: Bacterial small subunit ribosomal RNA
Source: RNAcentral